AGCGCAGCCUGGUAGCGCACCGUCAUGGGGUGUCGGGGGUCGGAGGUUCAAAUCCUCUC
Molecule: transfer RNA, 59 nt
Filed under: Escherichia coli
Lineage: Bacteria; Pseudomonadati; Pseudomonadota; Gammaproteobacteria; Enterobacterales; Enterobacteriaceae
Also listed under: 1 other name
Description: tRNA-Pro
Source: RNAcentral